This 363-nucleotide transfer-messenger RNA is filed under the name Desulfobulbaceae bacterium. It matches the Rfam family "transfer-messenger RNA". Rfam says of the family: Bacterial tmRNA, also known as 10Sa RNA or SsrA, is named for its dual tRNA and mRNA-like properties. The record is from RNAcentral. Lineage: Bacteria; Pseudomonadati; Thermodesulfobacteriota; Desulfobulbia; Desulfobulbales; Desulfobulbaceae.
GGGGGCGAAACGGAUUCGACGGGGAUAUAUAAGCUCGGGCUGCAAGUCGAGGUCUCUUCCCACCUCGUUAAUCAGGAAGAAACUAAAUAUAGUCGCAGACGACUAUGCAUACGCUGUGGCUGCGUAAAUAAAGCCAUUGCUCACCCGGUCGCUCCCGCGUACCGGGACGAGCAUCGUCAGCGGGAUAGCCUCCAUGCAUCUCCAGUGGGCACGGCGGCGAAACCAAACAGUGGAUAGUGCUGAAAACCCCUGGUUCCUGAGGGGUCGGGGCACGAUAAAUAACCAAAUCAUAAGGAACUAAGCUUGUAGAUGCCUGCAGGGGAGUAUUUUCGGACGCGGGUUCAACUCCCGCCGCCUCCACCA